Long non-coding RNA from Dermacentor silvarum, 263 nucleotides. RefSeq lists it as uncharacterized. The record is from RefSeq and is a predicted model, not a curated record. Lineage: Eukaryota; Metazoa; Arthropoda; Arachnida; Ixodida; Ixodidae. The transcript has 3 exons.
GCAUGAGCCAAGUCUUAACGCGUGUGCCAUGCAGGGAAGAGUACUAGCGCCGUUAAUUUGGCGUUUAGGCUGUUCGCAAGUUAUGCCGAGAGACAAAAGUGGCGCGAAGCAAGCAAGUAAAACCGGAAAGUCCACUGAGUACCAGAGGAGCCGAGCAAACCGGUGCCGUUUACACUACGAACACUGGAACCGUUGCUAUUCGAGUGCGUGCAAAGCCUGGAGCGAGUGGGAGUAAAAUUACAGAUAUCGGCGAGGACUCUGUG